This is a long non-coding RNA of Pecten maximus, 906 nucleotides long. RefSeq lists it as uncharacterized. The record is from RefSeq and is a predicted model, not a curated record. The transcript is spliced from 2 exons. NCBI's taxonomy places the organism in Eukaryota, Metazoa, Mollusca, Bivalvia, Pectinida, Pectinidae.
AUGUAUUGUGUAAGUAUGAUAUUUGUAACCUUUUAAAUUACGCGCCGAUUUCUCGCGCGUAACUUUUGUAUGUUACUGCGCAUGCGAGGACACGAAGGUAAGCAUAGCGGGCAGCCAUAUUGACAGAUAGAGAUGUGAAUAUAUUGGGAAAGCCAUAAGGAGCGUGAAAUUCAGCCACGCUCCAUGCCAAUGGCCAUAUCAUGACAAUGUCCUGUCAACGCUAUAUACAUACCUAUUAUCUAUGAGCUGACGGUGAAUGUAUGGAGGCCCUGAACAGCCGUAUGCAGACGAUUGUUUACCAAAAUGGACACAUGGUCGUCUUCUUAUAACGCCUGGCGGUGUGGUACUACAAUGACUGUUAUGUCGUUGCAGGAGUUCUGAUAUUCUCUGACAUAUGUAUCUGAAUAUUAUGGAGGCCCAGCUGUGUGUUGUGGCUAUAUUAACUGUCUGGUCAUUCAUUGAUUGAUUUACGACCAUUUCAUGAGAACGUUCGACUUGACUGUACUAUAUGUACAUCAUGCUGGUGUCUAUUUGUUUGGUGAAACUCUCUCCAUGCGGUGCCUGAUAGCUGACAGGUGAUUUGGAUUUCGCAGACAUCUAUGGAAUAUCAGUGGGGACAACAACGUGAAUACACCAAGAGGUCCAGGAGGGUUAUAUUGACAUUUUAUGUGUGGGAUCUACUGCGCCAGUCACCACCAGUGCUCAUGAACUUUAGGGAUGUUAGGUGUAAACAUAUUUGUGUAGUAUAGCGACCAGUGUUGUGAAUAUAUUAGUGAAUCAUAAUAUUGGAGUGAGACAACAUCAUUUAGAGUGAGAGAGGGACUAUCAUGUGUGCAAGUGUAUAUUAUAUUGUAAAGUUGUACAUUCACUUUGUAAAUUGUAAUAAAUGUAAAUAUUGUAACCCUU